RNAcentral lists this ribosomal RNA (500 nucleotides) under uncultured bacterium. RNAcentral's name for it is "partial 16S ribosomal RNA". It matches the Rfam family "Bacterial small subunit ribosomal RNA", at positions 30 to 523 of the family's 1533-position model. The record is from RNAcentral.
AUUGAACGCUGGCGGCAUGCCUUACACAUGCAAGUCGAACGGCAGCACGGGAGCAAUCCUGGUGGCGAGUGGCGAACGGGUGAGUAAUACACCGGAACGUGCCCAGUCGUGGGGGAUAACGUAGCGAAAGUUACGCUAAUACCGCAUACGAUCUAUGGAUGAAAGCGGGGGAUCGCAAGACCUCGCGCGAUUGGAGCGGCCGAUAUCGGAUUAGGUAGUGGGUGGGGUAAAGGCUCACCAAGCCGACGAUCUGGAGCUGGUCUGAGAGGACGACCAGCCACACUGGGACUGAGACACGGCCCAGACUCCUACGGGAGGCAGCAGUGGGGAAUUUUGGACAAUGGGCGCAAGCCUGAUCCAGCCAUGCCGCGUGCAGGAUGAAGGCCUUCGGGUUGUAAACUGCUUUUGUACGGAACGAAAAGGUUUGACUUAAUACGUUGGACUCAUGACGGUACCGUAAGAAUAAGCACCGGCUAACUACGUGCCAGCAGCCGCCGUAA